CAUUAAAAAAUCAGUCAAGAAAGCGAUAGAAUUGAAAAAAAAUAUUUAAUUGACACUGAAUGAAAAUAAUAUGUCUUUGAAAAUUAAUUUGAACAUUUUAGAACAACAAAUCUUCAUAUAAAGCGUUCUAGUUGGAAAGUUUACAGAUAUUUUAUCGUUGACCACACAAUACAGCUGGAGCACGCACAACAGCUGGGUGCUGGGUAAACAAAUACACGGACGAAACGCUGUGCAAAAUAUUGUUUCGAUUUAGAUCAACUUAACACUAUAAUUGAAUUUUCUCACAAAACCUAUAAUGAUAUUUUUUGAGGCUGACUGACUAAAGAUGGAGUCACCUUUCUUUUGCCUUGGUUUGUUGUGGAUUUCUGCACCUCUGGUGUAUUGUGUUGCUUGAUUUUUGGUGGACGGCCUUGUGGAACUUGAGCAGCACCUUUCGAAACACCCUUUCGUCUUCUUGCUCGCCCACUUGACUGAAUGGGAAUUCGUCCACUUCGUGAGCAGACAGAACCAAUCUGCCGAUAGAUGGCAACAAUGGAAGCUGUGGCAGCAGGUGCACUCUUCGGUUUGUUCAAAGCCUUACUUAACUUUCUUAGCAAUUCGUUUGAUGCAUCAGUUUUGGCCAACUCGAUCAAGCUGGCAAAUGCAUCUUUGCACUCAUUCACCAAAUCUUCUUUCUCAGCCUCAUCAAAAGGAUCAAGGUCUUGUUCUUCACUAUGAAUUUCGCAUGCGUGAAGCUCUUCGUCAAAUUCCACUUGUGCAUCCGACACAAAAUGAGCAACUAUUGUUAAAGAAAUUAUAUAUUUUAAAAUAUUUUAUUGUUUUUACAUUAACCAACCAUCUAAAUUUGGCUCCUUUUCAGUUGGAUCAACUUCUGUUCGGCCUAAAAAGAAUUUCAAGUCAGGGCAUUUGCUGCCGAGGGCCAAGCGAGCAAGUUCGAGUCGAUCGCCACUAAGAAGUGGAGGAGCCGAGGGCAUGGAGAUGUUGAAGUAUUUAACAAGCAGAGAUUGGUGUUUGCAGAAUGCACCACCCUCACCAACUGGACAGGAGCACACACCAAUCUUUGAAUGGACUUCAUAAAAGGUUUGAUCUUUUCCAUCCUGCUUAGUAACUUGUGGAAGACAAUGGAGUGGGCUGAGUGUCGAUUAUGUGCAUGGUCAAGGAGCCGCCGCUUGUAGUAAGACUCCAUGGGCCCAAUUACAAAUUCUACCAAGGCCACAGGAUUGAAUGCCUGCAAUAAAAUUAUAUUUCUAUCUCAUUCUUGUUAUUAAAACUGCUAAAUCAACAACCUUCAUUCUAUCAAGUACAGCCUCUUUAACAAUUUUGAUGCUGGACUCUGCAUAGUUGUUGGUGUGGUUGUUUCUUAAUAGAAGAUCACUCCUUUUGUAAAUAGCCCAUUCAUUUUUUCUUUUUAGGUAGGUAGUUCAAACCGAGCAACGAAUUUUUUUUCUGACUUCAAACUUUGGAUCUCAUCCACUCCUUUGUCAAAUUCCUCUUGAUUUGCAGCAUAAACGACCUGAAUUUAAGUUGCUAUUAAAUUAAAUUUUAAAAUUAUAGAAAAGUAAAUUAAAUUAUACUUUGUAAAAUAGGCCCAUCAGUUUUUUCCUCACAUCCUUGGUAGAAUUAGAUAGGAGCCAUUUCCAUUCCUUUGAUAAUACAUGGAAAGUGCACAAUAGCUGG
This is a long non-coding RNA of Neocloeon triangulifer, 1677 nucleotides long. RefSeq lists it as uncharacterized. The transcript has 3 exons. NCBI's taxonomy places the organism in Eukaryota, Metazoa, Arthropoda, Insecta, Ephemeroptera, Baetidae. The record is from RefSeq and is a predicted model, not a curated record.